Non-coding RNA from Schistosoma curassoni, 78 nucleotides. The record is from Rfam. Lineage: Eukaryota; Metazoa; Platyhelminthes; Trematoda; Strigeidida; Schistosomatidae.
AGCUUUUUGAGUCCGUGCAGAGAUUUCGUCAGCCACCAACCCAUUGUUGCUGAUCAAACUUUCAAUAUACGUGAAGUU